Molecule: ribosomal RNA, 411 nt
Filed under: uncultured microorganism
Description: bacterial SSU rRNA
Rfam family: Archaeal small subunit ribosomal RNA
Source: RNAcentral
CAGCGCCGCGGUAAUACCAGCCCCGCGAGUGGUCGGGACGGUUAUUGGGCCUAAAGCGCCCGUAGCCGGCCCGGCAAGUCCCUCCUUAAAGCCUCGGGCCCAACCCGAGGACGGGGGGGAUACUGCCGGGCUAGGGGGCGGGAGAGGCCGGCGGUACUCCCGGGGUAGGGGCGAAAUCCGUUAAUCCCGGGAGGACCACCAGUGGCGAAGGCGGCCGGCUGGAACGCGCCCGACGGUGAGGGGCGAAAGCCGGGGGAGCGAACCGGAUUAGAUGCCCGGGUAGUCCCGGCUGUAAACGAUGCGGGCUAGCUGUUGGGCGGGCUUAGAGCCCGCCCAGUGGCGCAGGGAAGCCGUUAAGUCCGCCGCCUGGGGAGUACGGCCGCAAGGCUGAAACUUAAAGGAAUUGGCGGG